Molecule: long non-coding RNA, 10179 nt
Filed under: Octopus vulgaris (common octopus)
Lineage: Eukaryota; Metazoa; Mollusca; Cephalopoda; Octopoda; Octopodidae
Source: RNAcentral
UUGUGGUUUGUUUUAUUUUUAUUUUUACUCUGUAGGGCGCCUGAGAAAAUAAAUUAAGGAUUCUCUCUCUCAUUCUCCAUGUUCCUGCAACUUGGCUUUCUCUCUCGUAGAUUUAUGCCCUCGCACUGGCUACUGCCACCCUUUUCCAGUGGUGAUUUAGCCCCGAUUCAUGCUCAACACCCGGAUUAAGAAGCAACAAAGGCCCGGGUAAGAUUGUCUCUAAUCCCAACAUUGAAAGCUAAUUCCGAGGGUGUGCUUGAAAGGAAUGGGUUGACGUAUGGACGACUGCAGAAACGAAUGAAUGGCUGGAUGGAUGGAUGGCUUGGUGCAUGGUAAGAAGCGGGCUAAUCAGGGUGCUUCUGAAAAAACAAGGGUGCAACAUGAAUGUUUGUACUCGUAUUUCUGCUACCCGUAUUUCUCCUAAAUACCAGUGAUUUUAUCCUUGUAUAUAUGUAAAUAUUCUUCCUCUCCCUGUCACUGAAUACAUGUUUCCGCCUCUUUUUAUCUGUAUAUCAUUCCAUCCCUUUAUAAUAUAUUUCUGUCUCUCACUCUCAUCAUCGCUCUGUUUGUCAAUCUCUCUCUCUCUCCCUCUUUAGCCAUCACUCUAUCUUUUCCUAACUCUCUCUCUCCUCCGCAUCUACCGAUCGUUUGUGUUUUCGUAUUGUGUCUAUCCAUUAGAAAUACCUUAUCUACGAAAGCAUCCAUUGUAGACGAACGAUCAAAGAAGGUCCCUCGCCUAUGCAAACGAUUUCAAUCACUGAACAUUCUAGCUUUGUGUCCUUAUCCUAUAUACACGUUUACUGAGACACACAAGACACGCAUAUAUUUAUAUAUACCCGCCCCAAUCAAUCGGUUUUCAUUACCAUCAUCUCACUAGUAACCCGCUCAAAAUAUAUGAUGUAAAGCAGUAUUUAAUGGACAAUACUGAUAUAUAUAUAUAUAUAUAUAUAUAUAUAUAUAUAUAUAUAUAUAUAUAUAUAUAUACAUACAUACAUACAUAUGUAUAUAUAUAUAUAUAUAAUGUGUGUGUGUUGUAUGUCUAUGUCUGUAUAUAUAUAUAUGUGUGUUUGAAUAUAUGUAUAUAUGUAUAUAUUAUAUGUAUACCUAUCUACCUGCCUAUCUGUAUUUCUCCCUCUCGUUUUCUUGAUAGAUAGAUUAACAUCUACAUAUGCAUAUAUACAUAUAUUUAUACGUAUACAAACGCAUAUGUAUGUAAUAUGUGUGUGUACCUUAUAUAUACAUAUAUAUAUACAUAUAUAUAUAUAUAUAUAUAUAUAUAUAUAUAUAUAUAUAUAUAUAUAUAUAUGUAUGUAUGUAUAUAUAUGUAUAUAUAUAUAGUACGUGUGUGCAUAAAUAUGUGUGAAUGUAUAGGUGUUUGUGUGUGUAUGUAUAAUAAUUUAAAUAGUUGUACUUCUGAAAUGUUAUUAAGUCCACUGGUGAUGUUUAAGCAUUAUAGAAGCCUUAAGGUCUUUAUUUUCUUUCACUAAAGGUCUCUCCAUGACUUUUAGUUCCCAAAAUCCCAAAUCCAAGAACUGUUUCCAUUCUAAAGUAAUUCUGUUAAAAUAGUAAAGUUUGAGUUAGAACUCUUAAAUAAACAAAAAUUUGCCAAUUUUUGCGAUGCACAACAGUUUAGGAACGGUCAGUCCAGUUGUCAAUUGUAUUUUGAAAUUCUGACACCAAAUGCAUCAAAAGUGUUUUGUUGGUUAUUUUUUUUUAUCAUGUCACAGUCCAAUUCAGUGUUGCCACUCAUCACAUCCUGUGAUGCACCUUGACACAUCAUCAGUGAUGUUUCCAAGGGUCAUUAGGUGUUUUGGGUCUUUUAACCCUUUUGUUACCAACGCAGCCGAAACCAGCUCUGGCUCUGUAGUACAAAUGUCUUGUUUUCAUAAGUUUUGAAUUAAAAUCUUCCACCAAACCUUAGUCACAAUUUAUGUUCCUGACACUAAGCUUAAUGAUAACUAAGUUAUUUUACUGAAUUCUUUGUUAUAUUUAAAGUAAUUGAUAGAAACACAGAGCAUCUCAACAGAAAUACAGUAACAAAAAGGUUAGCAAUCUGACAUCUCAUCCAGGCAACCCAUUCAGAGUUGCUCCAGCCCCAGCUUGGGUCCAGUUAGCACUGCCCCUUCCAGGCCCCUGUGAUUCUCAACAAAUUAUAAGCCCUCUUUAGUGGAUAUUAGGACCAAGAGCAGCCAAAGAAUCUGUGGGAGGAUACCAUGUUGGUAAAUCCAAGCCUUAACCUUUAGUAUUUAAACUGGCCAGAUCCGGUCCAAAUAUUUUAUCUUUUAUGUUCAAAAGAUCUGGCUUCUCAUACCUACCCUACAAUGUCAUUCUAAAUAUAAACAAUUGCAUUACUGAAAUUUCAAAGCUACGAGAUAAUUUAUGAUUAAUUAAAAAAAAAAGAUUCGAGCGAAGUUGUUGCCAGUACCGCCUGACUGGCCCCCAUGCCAGUGGCACGUAAAAGGCACCCGCUACACUCUCGGAGUGGUUGGCGUUAGGAAGGGCAUCCAGCUGUAGAAACUCUGCCAAAUCAAGAUUGGAGCUUGGUGCAGCCAUCUGGUUUGCCAGCCCUCAAUCAAAAUCGUCCAACCCAUGCUAGCAUGGAAAGCAGACAUUAAACGAUGAUGAUGAUGAAUUUGAAUAAAUAAGCAUUAGAUUUGAGAGGGUCAUCCAAGUGCUGAAGGAUUAAACUUGCUGGGAAAAUAUGACUUGUCCACUGUGGAUAGCCAGGCCUCCAAUUCCUUGUUGGUUUCACAGAUGGAUUAUGUGUUUCCUCAGGCUGCUAUGAAAUGCUUUUCCCAGGUUCUUCACUGGUCACUCCAUGAUGGUUGGUAUCUCUACAUUACCAACCAAGAAGCCGAGCCUGUUUCCAACUUUAUAUUUCUGAAGCUAACCAAGCUAAAGAUCAGGACUUCACUGGUUUAAAACUCAUACAAACCCAAAUCAUCAACUCUUCAAGGCUCUAAAGGGUCUUCUGCCCUUCAUAAUUGAUGUUAUUAUCACAGGUAGUCUAUAAAAGCCCCAAAUAGGGGGCUGCUGAACACUUGACUUAGUGGGUGGUCCUUGACACUGAACUUUCACCAAAUUUACCAAGAUGUUCAGUGCAAGCACAAAAAGGGUCACUGAAAUGGCACAUCCAAUGAUAACACCCCUUCUUGAGCUUGUGCCACUCUGGUAUUGUUGAAGCAGCAGGGACUCUCAGAGUGAAGCUGCUGCAAUAGUCAAGAAUGAGAUCUCUGAACUUGGUCCCUAUUCAGAGCCCCUUCAACCAGCUUAUGAUGUAGUUGUUGUUGUUGUUAAGCAACAAGAUGGGUAAGGGUGAUUAGGUGAUGGUCUAGGGCUUAGGGGCGGGAGACCCCAGACCUUGGGAAAAAAAAAAAAACUUUGGUCGUCUUGUUGUAGUCGAGGGCUCUUUGUUGAUGCCCGACACCACUAGGAAGUGGCCCUCGAAGUCGCUGGAAAUGGAGAUCUCCAGGUCCAAGUUCUUGAACGGCACUUAUGAUGUAUGGACUCUUUGGUGUUCACAAGAUCCUGCAAUAAUACUGUUAAAUCCCCUUUAUUUUCUUAGGCUUCCUUGGUUAAUGAGUUAAUCACACCUAAGUGUUCCAGACACCCUAACACCUUUAGGAUUCCUCCUUUCUGAACUGAAAUGCCAAUUUACAAAUUCCUCUGGAGGUAGUUCAUCUGGUGCUUAGCAACAACAGGGCAAGAGCUCUUCUCCUUUGAUUCCCUUUUUACAGGUGCAUGCUUAGAAUUGGUCCUUUCACAUUGGCCAUUCUUCCAACAUUCACCCACCUUUCAACAAACCUUCCUCUCCACCCUCACCUUUUCAAGUGAAAAAGUUGAUGAGGGCUUGGCCAAAGAGGAAAGUGCCUGUCUUUAGCCCUUUCAAACGGGUCCACCAUACUACCACUUUUGCUGCAGCCACUAGACGAAUAAUAAUAAUAAUAAUAAUAAUAAUAAUAAUCAGUACUGAUUGGAACUGCAAGAAUUCUUUGCAGGGUUCUUGAAGCAUGACCAGUAAAACAAGUGUCACCUUAGUCUGCUGGCUGUGGACAGCUGACACUUUCCAUCAUACCCAGCAAAACGAGCUGUGAGCUUUCGUAUAAUGAUAAUAAUAAUAAUAAUAAUAAUAAUAAUAUUAAUAAUAAUAAUAAUAAUAAUAAUAAUUUCUGCUGUAGGCACAAAGCCUGAAAUUUGAGGUAGGGACUAGUCGAUUACAUCGACCCCAGUGUUCAACUGGUACUUAAUUUAUCGAAUCUGAAAGGAUGAAAGAUAAAGCCGACCUUGGUGGAAUUUGAACUCAGUACAUAGCAACAGGUGAAAUACCACCAGGUAUUUUAUCCAGCGCACUAACGAUCCUGCCAGCUUACCACCUUAAUAAUAAUAAUAAUAAUAAUAAUGAUGAUGAUGAUGAUGAUGAUGAUGAUGAUUGUUUCAAAUUUUAGCUCAGGGCCAGCAGUUUUUGAAGGGAGGGCGAAGUUGAUUACACUGAGCCCAGUCAGUGGUCAACUGGUACUUUUUUAUCUCCCCCCCCACCAAAAAAAAAGAUCAAACAUGAAAUAGACCUUGGAGGAGUUUGAACUUAAAAUGUAAAAAGGGAUGAAAUGCUGUUAAGCAUUUUGUUUGACGUGCUAAAGAUUGUGCCAGUUUACCGCCUCAAUAACGAUAUUAGUGAUGGUGGUGGUAGUUGCUGUUGUUAUUUCUAAUACAGGCAGAAGGCCAGCAAUUUUGAAGGGAAGGGUUUAAUCAAUAUUAUUGACCCCCAGUACUUGAUUAUUCCAUUAUUUUAUCAGCCCUUUGAAAAAAAAAUGAAAGGCACAGCUCAACAUCAUCAUCACCAUCACCAUCGUUUAACGUCCGUUUUCCAUGCUGGCAUGGGUUGGACGGUUCAACUGGGAACUGGCAAGCCAGGGGGGGGGCUACACCGGGCUCCAAUCUGAUCAAGCAAAGUUUCUACAGCUGGAUGCCCUUCCUAAUGCCAACCACUCCGAGAGUGUAGUGGGUGCUUUUUACGUGCCACCAGCACAGGAGCCAGUCAGGUGGGCCUGGUAUUGAUUACGUUCGGAUGGUGCUUUUUUACGUGCCACUGGCACAGGCGCCAGUCAGGGGGUAAAUAUUAACAAAAGUAAUAAUAAUGCAAAUGAGCUUACUGUAUACUGGGCUUAGCUGCUCUAAAACUUAUCAAAAGGGGUAAAAGAGGGAACAGAAUGCAGAUGUUUAAGUGAAGUAAAGAAAGCCAAAAGUACAGGGUUAGGGUUAGGGAUAAAUCUUAAAAAGACAGAAAAGGGAAAAGCAAGAGACCCUGAACCCUUUCGUUACUGUUGAGAUGUUCCAUGUUUCUUUCAAUUAAUUUUAAAUAUAAGAAAGAAUUUAGUAAAAUAACUUAGUUAUCAUUAAGCUAGUGUUAGGAACAUAAAUUGUGACUAAGGUUUGGUGGAAGAUUUUAAUUCAGAACUUAGGAAAACAAGACAUUUGAACUCAGAGCCAGAACUGGUUUCAGCCAGGUUGGUAUCAAAAGGGUUAAGAAUUGUUUCUCUAUUAUAUAUUUUAACCCUUUUGUUACCAUAUUUCUGUUGAGAUGCUCUGUGUUUCUUUCAAUUAAUUUUAGAUAUAACAAAGAAUUUAGUAGAAUAACUUGGUUAUCAUUCAGCUAGUGUUAGGAACAUAAAUUGUGACUAAGGUUUGGUGGAAGAUUUUAAUUCAGAACUUAUGAAGACAAGACAUUUGUACUCGGAGCCAGACCCGGUUUCAGCUAGGUUGGUAUUAAAAGGGUUAAGAAUUGUUUCCCUAUUAUAUAUUUUAACCCUUUUGUUACUGUAUUUAAUUAAAAACUUAUGCAAACAAGACAUUUGUACUCAGAGCCAGAACCGGUUUCAGCCGGGUUAGUAUCAGAAGAGUUAAAGAGGAUGUGAUGCAUAGGUAUGUCAGGGGAUGUGUUGGGUAUUUCAGGAAGCAUAGAAUUUUUGAGGGAUGCUGUGUCCUGACUGCUAACAACUGAUGCAGGUAGUUUAUUCCAUGCUUUGGCAAUUGUGAGUGUGGAAAAAUGUUUCUGAAAGUCAUGGGUGCUGAUCUGUCUUUUUUUUUUAUAUAUUUUCUGUGAUGCUGCAUGGAAGAAAAUACACAAAGUUGUUGGACUGGAUUGGGUUAAACUAUGAGCUAUGACAUCACGGAACUUUCCUAAGGUUCUAUAAAGAAGAAAGGAAUGGGGGAAAGGGGAAAAGUCAUUGAAUGCUCUUUUACUUGUUUUAGUCAUUUGACUGUGGCCAUGCUGGAGCACCGCCUUUAGUCGAGCAAAUCGACCCCGGACUUAUUCUUUGGAAGUCUAGUACUUAUUCUAUCGGUCUCUUUUGCCAAACCGCUAUGUUAUGGGAACAUAAACACACCAGCAUCGGUUGUCAAGCGAUGUUGGUGGGGGGGGGGGGGGGGGGACAAACACAGACACACACAAACAUAUACACACACAUACAUAUCUAUAUACAUAUAUACGACAGGCUUCUUUCGGUUUCCGUCUACCAAAUCCACUCACAAGGCUUUGGUUGGCCCAAGGCUAUAGUAGAAGACACUUGCCCAAGGUGUCACGCAGUGGGACUGAACCCGGAACCAUGUGGUUGGGAAGCAAGCUACUUACCACACAGCUACUCCUGAAUAUAAAAUAGGCAACAGAUGGUGUCUUGGAAAAUGGGUUUAAUUUGUUGAGACUCUGUGUGUGUGUGUUUACAUAUUCUCUGAGUUUCGUGAGCCACAAGUAGUGAUGUUGACUUUUGUCAUGUCAAAAAAGUCAUCCACCGCUUCUCACCUUUGAAGACGUGUGAAACAAGAGAUUCCUUGCUUGGAACACAAGUAAAGGUUAAUGGCAGGGAGAGUAUAUGGUAUUGAAGCAAUGUGCAUCAAUAAUAAUGCAUUCAUCUAACCCAUGCUAGCAUGGCAAAACAGACAUAAAACAAAUGAAUGAACAUAUGUUUAUGGGUCUGAAAUUAAACAUUAAGGAGGUCAGUCAUACAAUAAAGAAUUCAAUACGCUGGGGUAUGCUGUAAAGUAGUUUGAUCUUUGAAGAUUGCCUGAUAAAUGGCACCAGUGUUUCAAAAAUUGCAAUUUCCCCUCCUGGAAGAGAAUUGUAGAAUUUAAACAUUGGUUCUGUUUGUUGGACAUUUACCAAAAUUGAAGAAGUAACACUGUAAUUUAAGUUAUUUUCUGCUGUCCACAAGGUAAUCUGUAUACUCAGAAAUAAGGUGGGGGCUAAGGGUCCCCCCCACUUGGACCUACAUUCACAGAGUUGUACAUGACUAAUGCAGAAGAAAAAAGUUGUUUGCAAAUAUAACCACACAGUUUCACCAGAUAUCUUAAUGACUGAUUUAUUCAUCACUGUUGUGGCUGUGUGGUAAGAAGCUUGCUUCUUGACCACAUAGUUCUGGGUUCAGUCCCACUGUGUGACACCUUGAGAGAGUGUCUUCUACUAUAGUCUCAGGCCAACCAAAGCCUUGUGGGUGGAUUUGGUAGAUGGAAACUGAAAGAAGCCCGGAACCAUGUGGUUGGAAAGCAAGCUUCUUACCACAGAGCCACUCCUUGUGACCGUGUGUGUACCGUUGGCGAUUUUUUUCCCUCUGUCUUCUCUUCGCUGGAUCUUUCCUUCUAUGUUUCUGAUGAAGAGCUCCACUCGAAACGUUAAACCCUCCUUCUUUCCUUCCUUCCUGAGCGUCCAAUAACACUAUAUUUGUUCCACGUCCUCGCGUUGUUGUGUUUUUUUGUGCUUUCUUGUUUGGAUUAACUAUAUAUAUAUAUAUAUAUAUAUAUAUAUAUAUAUAUAUAUAUAUAUAUAUAUAUAUAUAUAUAUAUAUAUAUAUAUAUAUAUAUAUAUAUAUAUAUAUAUAAUAAGUGUUCCCAUAGAUACAAAAUAUUUGUAGUCAAAUCCCUUCUUGCAAAGUUUUACAUUUUCAUCCCCUGAAGGAGCUUUAAAUAAGGAAAUCUUACACUUAAAACAAACAUAAGUUAAUCAUGAUUACCCUCAUAAAGUAACAGACGAAGCUAUAGAACAAUCCAAGAGCAAAUAUGCCCAUAGUGAUAUAUACGGAUACAAACCCAACUAAAAGUACAUAAACCACAUAAAUUGUAUAUUACAAGAGUCAAAUGCAAUUUGGUAAUAAAAUGAAUAAAUCAUUAAAAAACUGAACAGAACCUGUACCAAACCAAACUACAAGUGCAUAGCUAGAAAAUAUUACAAUAACUAAAAAUCUCUUCAUUUAUAUGAAACCACAAACCAGCAAUCCACAGGGUGUACUGCAGACAGUCAACGUAAUAUAGAAGUCUCAAUGUAAACACAAAAGUUGUAAACUUCAUGACUCAGACUGUUACACUGAUUACGCAAGUACAGCACUUUCUCACACAUUUCCAUCAAGGAAUUCAUAACACUGUACAUAAAAUGAAUUACGAUAGAAAAAACAGUAGUUGACUGUAAGGACUAAAGGUUUAUAUUAAAUAACAAAGUAAGCUUUAUUUGUGGUGAAAUGCAAACCAUAAAGCCUAACCUAGCUAUGUCACAUGUAAAAUAAACCUUGACAUCUGCAAGGACUAAAUGACGGAACAAUUUUGAAAUCUGGCAUUGAGGAUUUUAUUGUUUAUAACAAUAUUCCCAUGAUGCAUUGCAACUUACAUUUUGUCUAUCAUGUUUCUUUACAUCACUAAAUAUUAGGUUGUCCCAAAAGUUCGUAAACACUUGCGAAAAUUGAAUUUUUACUUGCCAAGUACUAACAAAAACAACAAAAAUUAUUCCUCAAAAUAAAGACCAUUAUUUUCCAAGACUUUCUACGAACUUUUGGGACAACCUUAUAUAAAGUCUGUCUGUGUGUCUAUCAUUCUAAUACACCAACGAAGAUAAAUAAAUCAAUCAUUUUUUUUUUCAUUUUCCUGUCUUAAAAUUAAAAAUUUUUCUAAAUUCAUUUUUCUUUUUCUUUUUAAUGUAUUUUUCAGGUAAUUACUGUCCUGUCGGCAAUCAAUUAACUACGGUAGCAGCAACAACAGUAAUAUUACCAACAGCAACAACAACAACAACAGGAAGUGGUUCAAGCAUGUAAUCAAGGAAUUGUUUGGUUUGUUGACUAGAAUCUCUCCAGUGAUAUUUUGACUUUAAAGAACACAACUCAGACACUUUAACGGGACGUAGCUCCAUCACAUGUUGGUUUUUUCGCCAGUGUCUCAGCUUUGAGUUUGGCCGCAGCCCCUGAGAUGAGUUCCACUUUCUCCCUCUCCGAUGGGAUGGUCUUUUCUCCGACCACACCGUCAGAUAAAUCCGAUAUCGAAUUAGCAAUGUCGUCAGUGGAGGAGGUCAGCUUCCAUCAACAGCAACAGCCGAGUCAGGUGAAGGACGAGCUGACCACCGGCCACAACCACAACAACCACCCUCACCAUCAUCCUACCAACAACACCUGUUGCAAUAACAAUAAUAACAAUAAUAAUAACAAUAACAACAACAACAACAACAACAGCCAUCAGCAUCCUCCGUGCUGUAACCAGGGCAACAGGUCGUCAUACAGCCUCUGCCAUCAACAGCAGAGCAGUUGUUGCUGUAGCUUGGACUGUCAGAGCUGUAGCCAGACCAAUUGCAGCCAGUGUUGCAUGGCUCAGAGGAGCCACCAGCAUUAUGUGGUGCAGCCGGAAAAGUUGCACACAUGUGAUGUGUGCGGUAAGGGCCUCUCCCGGCGUGACCACCUCAAACUACACAAGAGAAUCCACUCCGGAGAACGUCCGUACAAGUGUGACGUGUGCAGCUACACAUUCUAUCGCAAGGAUCACCUGCUCCGACACCAGCGCCGCAACAACUGUCGCCGGAAGACGGAAAUCGGUGUGACAUCGCUUCCAUCCCCCGGUGGGCAACGAGAAAUGGCACACAGUGCCGGCAGUAGCAUCGGUCACUCAGGUCGGGUACCGGAGGGCAGCCAGGUGUGGCAGGGACACCAGAAGCCACUACCACCACAACCACUGAAGAUGGAGAGAUCACCCGACAAUUCCCUGCGCUACAACCAUAACACUGAUGAGUGCAACCAGAUGCAGCAGUCGCAACAUUCGAUGCACAAACUCGUUAUUCCUCAUUAUACAAACAGUUAAUUUCAUAACAGACAUAUACAUGUAUGCACGUACUAUAUAUACAUAUACACACAAAUAUAUAAAUGGUAUAUAUACAUGGAU